GAUGAACGCUGGCGGCGUGCCUAAUACAUGCAAGUCGAGCGAGAUGUUAGUGCAUGAACCUUCGGGGGAUUAUACUAACGGACAGCGGCGGACGGGUGAGUAACGCGUAGGCAACCUGCCCCUGACAGAGGGAUAGCCAUUGGAAACGAUGAUUAAAACCUCAUGACACCGUAGAAGCACAUGCUUCAUCGGUCAAAGAUUUAUCGGUCAGGGAUGGGCCUGCGUCUGAUUAACUAGUUGGUGAGGUAACGGCUCACCAAGGUGACGAUCAGUAGCCGACCUGAGAGGGUGAUCGGCCACAUUGGAACUGAGACACGGUCCAAACUUCUACGGAAGGCAGCAGUAGGGAAUCUUGCACAAUGGGCGAAAGCCUGAUGCAGCAACGCCGCGUGAAGGAUGAAGGCCUUCGGGUUGUAAACUUCUGUUCUAAGGGAAGAAACAAAUGACGGUACCUUAGGAGCAAGCCCCGGCUAACUACGUGCCAGCAGCCGCGGUAAUACGUAGGGGGCAAGCGUUAUCCGGAAUUAUUGGGCGUAAAGAGUGCGUAGGUGGUUACCUAAGCGCAAGGUUUAAUUUAGAGGCUCAACCUCUACUUGCCUUGCGAACUAGGCUACUUGAGUGCAGGAGGGGAAAGCGGAAUUCCUAGUGUAGCAGUGAAAUGCGUAGAUAUUAGGAGGAACACCAGCGGCGAAGGCGGCUUUCUGGACUGUAACUGACACUGAGGCACGAAAGCGUGGGGUAGCAAACAGG
Molecule: ribosomal RNA, 750 nt
Filed under: uncultured Mogibacterium sp.
Lineage: Bacteria; Bacillati; Bacillota; Clostridia; Peptostreptococcales; Anaerovoracaceae
Description: bacterial SSU rRNA
Rfam family: Bacterial small subunit ribosomal RNA
Source: RNAcentral